This 377-nucleotide ribosomal RNA is filed under the name uncultured bacterium. RNAcentral's name for it is "bacterial SSU rRNA". It matches the Rfam family "Bacterial small subunit ribosomal RNA", at positions 523 to 898 of the family's 1533-position model. The record is from RNAcentral.
AUACGUAGGGCGCGAGCGUUGUCCGGAAUUAUUGGGCGUAAAGAGCUCGUAGGCGGUUUGUCGCGUCUGCCGUGAAAGCCCGUGGCUUAACUGCGGGUCUGCGGUGGAUACGGGCAGGCUAGAGGCUGGUAGGGGCAAGCGGAAUUCCUGGUGUAGCGGUGAAAUGCGCAGAUAUCAGGAGGAACACCGGUGGCGAAGGCGGCUUGCUGGGCCAGUUCUGACGCUGAGGAGCGAAAGCGUGGGGAGCGAACAGGAUUAGAUACCCUGGUAGUCCACGCUGUAAACGUUGGGCGCUAGGUGUGGGGGCUUUCCAUGGUUCCUGUGCCGUAGCUAACGCAUUAAGCGCCCCGCCUGGGGAGUACGGCCGCAAGGCUAAA